Molecule: ribosomal RNA, 254 nt
Filed under: uncultured bacterium
Lineage: Bacteria
Description: partial 16S ribosomal RNA
Rfam family: Bacterial small subunit ribosomal RNA
Source: RNAcentral
CGGAGGGCGCGAGCGUUACCCGGAUUUACUGGGCGUAAAGGGCGUGUAGGCGGCUUGGGCGUCCCAUGUGAAAGACCACGGCUCAACCGUGGGGGAGCGUGGGAUACGCUCAGGCUAGACGGCGGGAGGGGGUGGUGGAAUUCCCGGAGUAGCGGUGAAAUGCGCAGAUACCGGGAGGAACGCCGAUGGCGAAGGCAGCCACCUGGCUCGUUCGUGACGCUGAGGCGCGAAAGCGUGGGGAGCAAAACCGGAUU